UCGUUAGGAUUAAGAAGCUCAUUAAUUAAUUUAUAUUAACUCAUCUUGUUUAAAUUUUAGUUGAAUUCACCAAUUAAAUUCUAUUAGGUUAUAAUUGAAACCCCAUUAUUUAAUAACAAUUCAUCCCAUCUUUUAAGAUUAAUUUUGGGCCCUUUUAUUUCACUCCAGCAGGCCCAAUUCCCAUUUCCAAUCACAAAUAAAUUUCCAGCCCAUUAUACUCCCUCCAGCAGCCCAAAUCAAUUACCCCUAGCCCACUUCUUUUUCAAUUCUUUUCCAUUCCAACCAUACCCAUAAACCCAAACCCACAACAAUACAAUACAUAUAACAACAAUACAAUACAUACGUACAGCAGUAGCAAUUCCAGCCGACCCCCAUCCCCUUUCCCUUCACAAUUCCAACUCUACAAUACGAUAAACAACAUCCAUACAGUACCAAAACAGCCCCUGCCAGCGUCUUCCUCUUCCCCAGACGCAAAUCCAAAAAUGUCAAAGCAACAGUAGUCCAAAUCUCUGCAACAGCCGCCCAUCCUAAUCUUGUCAUCCGGAUUUCGUGGGAUUUGGGUUGAUUUCUUGGAAAAACGAACAGCUCUUUGGUUCUUGAAAUUUUUUGAAUUGAGGAUUGAGUGGGAGAAUUCCUAUUCUAUCCUUUCCCCCGAGAAUCCGAGCCCUAAUUCCCCCAUCUAUAUAAUACCCCUUCUUAUUCAUUGUUUGGGGGGAUUUUUCUUUUAUUUUAGCAAAAAAUAUAUAUUUAAGGAUUAGUGUCUAAAUACAAGAAGAUAUACUUCAAAAACAGGGGAUACAAGAACUUUCGGCGUUUGGGUUCAAUUUUCUGCCCAAAUCUCUUGACCAUUGUCUGUAACUGAGUUCUCGUAGUGAAGGUCGUCGUUUCAGCUCGUCGUCCUAGUAUCGCUGCUCCGGAAAAGUGGCUAUUGUCAAGAAUGCCUCCUUUGAUUGUUGUUGUGAUUGUGUGAUCUAGGAAUUUAAUAUAUUUAACCAUAUUCAAGCAUGCAAGAUCAUAGUGUUGCCCCCAUACGGUUGAUUAUUAAUACCAAUGUAAUAUUUCCUAGCGGAACGAACAAGUGUGGUUGAUCCCAGGAAGUUUGGUUUCUUUUUAGCAUUUGGGAAAUGUUAUCUUGUUAAAUGAGUUGAUUUUAAACUAAGCGCAUUUGUUUUACAUUUUCUUGUUAACUUAAGCAUAUUCGGUUGUGUUAUGUCUUCUUAGUUAGCAUAGUUUGAUGUUUGGAUGUAGAUGAAUCCGUCAUGCUUGAUUUGCCAAGGUUUCAACUUCUCCCAUUUGUUCAUCACAUAGCUAGUAUAUAAUCUUCAAAUAAGCUCAAAAAUUUAGAAGUGUUCAAUGUGUUUUGGAAUAAUACCAUGUGCUGUGAUUGAUUUCCCUAGAUGAUAAUGCAAUGUGAUUGGAAAUUAAUAAUGCUCACAUGUGGUCUCUUCCCAUUCUUGGUGUGUAAGGUUAGCUGUAAUUGAAUUUGCAAUGAAAAUGCCAAAGUUUCCUUUAGUUUAAAAUGGUACAUCAAUCAAUCUUCUUAUUCCAUUUGCUAAUUUGUAUUUAUUUGUCCACUUUAUGUAUGUCCGAGUGAGUCCUAUGUAUUCAUGUCUACACCUCGCAUUUCAAAUGGGCCUCGGAGGCCUAAAACUCCCUCUUAUCGAGUCAACCUCGUCAUUGGGAGCAUAUGGAAUUCGAAGAGGAAAUCUAUGUUAUAAAAGAAGCUGAAACAGAUCUCAAAAAGCCAAAAACGCAGGUGGAAAAAGGCAAAUAUACAAUGAUAUACAACAGAUAUACAUCGAUAUACAGGUCAAAAACGCAGGAAUACAGGGCUGGAGUGAAAUACAUGUGUUCGGAAGCAAUAAAAUACAUGAAAGGGGCUGAUAUACAUGCCGAUAUACAUCAGCUGUAUACCAAAAACGGGAUUGAGUAAAUCCCCAGAAAUUACAGCGAAUUUGGCCCCAAAAAGAGGCCCAAAUUCAAUUUCUAACUUA
Molecule: long non-coding RNA, 1994 nt
Organism: Solanum tuberosum (potato)
Lineage: Eukaryota; Viridiplantae; Streptophyta; Magnoliopsida; Solanales; Solanaceae
Exons: 2
Source: RefSeq, a predicted model, not a curated record